This 496-nucleotide ribosomal RNA is filed under the name uncultured bacterium. RNAcentral describes it as "partial 16S ribosomal RNA". It matches the Rfam family "Bacterial small subunit ribosomal RNA", at positions 28 to 506 of the family's 1533-position model. The record is from RNAcentral.
GAUGAACGCUGGCGGCGUGCCUAAUACAUGCAAGUCGAGCGAACAGACGAGGAGCUUGCUCCUCUGACGUUAGCGGCGGACGGGUGAGUAACACGUGGAUAACCUACCUAUAAGACUGGGAUAACUUCGGGAAACCGGAGCUAAUACCGGAUAAUAUAUUGAACCGCAUGGUUCAAUAGUGAGAGACGGUUUUGCUGUCACUUAUAGAUGGAUCCGCGCCGCAUUAGCUAGUUGGUAAGGUAACGGCUUACCAAGGCGACGAUGCGUAGCCGACCUGAGAGGGUGAUCGGCCACACUGGAACUGAGACACGGUCCAGACUCCUACGGGAGGCAGCAGGAGGGAAUCUUCCGCAAUGGGCGAAAGCCUGACGGAGCAACGCCGCGUGAGUGAUGAAGGUCUUCGGAUCGUAAAACUCUGUUAUUAGGGAAGAACAAAUGUGUAAGUAACGAUGCACGUCUUGACGGUACCUAAUCAGAAAGCCACGGCUAACUACGU